CAAAACUGAAGAACAAAAGGAUCUGACAAAGUCAUUGUUUCACUGUGUAAAUAAAGUGGUUGCUUGUUUGUGGCAGCCAGGCAGGAAACCAUAAAAAAUCAACAAGAAGCACAAGCUUUUAAAAACAAAUCUAUUAUCAUACUUUUUUUAAAAAAAAGAAAUGCAUAAUGGUCUCUAUUAUUUGAGAAGCUUUCUUCAAAUUACUGCUAGAAGCAGGAAUUCUUUUCAAGCCUUUUGAACUGUUAAGUAUAGGGUAGUGCUUAUUUUCUACUAACCUUGGAUCUUGGAUUAUUUGUAUUUUCUGUUUACAUAAAUGUUUUGUUUUGAAUGCUUCCACGAAGCCCAUGAAACUUUUCAGUGUACUAUUAAACCAGUGAUUUAGCAGGGGUCAUUUUAACUGACUCUAGAGAUUUUUUUUUCCUAAAGUAGGACUUAAACAAAAGUAUACAUGCAAGGCAGAAACACACGCAGUUUCAUUUUAGAUUCAAACGCACACAAAAUGGGCAUGGAACAGCCUUUUUGGGGCUACACCAUUUAUUGCUGAAGAGAGGGUUCCAUUUUGUAAAAUGAGAAGUGCCAUGCACAUGGAAAGCUAGGGUGUCAUGGAGAAAUAUUUUAGCUUAGCAUCUCUGACUGUAGCAAUGAGAAUUGUGGCAACAACAGAAGCAACCUCAACUAACCUGCAACCCCCAGGAAAGGAGGACAUGAUAGAGUUAGAUUGCCUAUAAUAAAGUGUGGGCAGUCGUGAUAUAUUUUGUGGUUGAUGCUAGACUUGGGAUGUGUUCAGUGUUCAGUUUGAGGAGGGGCUAUGCACCUGAAUGCUAGGCAUAUCUUGUUGGAUAUACAGUAUAGCAAGACAGUUUAUAAAGGAGUAAAUUUGUUAGUAUUUUCAAGUAUGGUUGGGAAACUGGAUAUGUGAUAUUUGUGAAUAGUGAAUAAUCAUUUAAAUUUAAUCUACAGAGAAGUGCCAGGCAACAAAAUAUAUCUGUUCAAAAUGUAUUUGGAACCUUUUUUUGAGCAAGAGAAAGGAUAACUCUACAAUAAAAGGGCAAAAGAUGGGCAAACAUAAAGGUAAACUUUGCAGCAAUGCAGAUGAGGUAGCUUUAAUACGUAUCAAGCCUGAAAAUUCAUUCCUGGAAUUAUGAAAGUUUAGCAAGGUCUUGAGUAAAAUAAUACUUGACUUUUCAUUUAUUAGAGGGGCAAUCAAAAUAUUGAAAGAAAACAAAAAAAAUCUGGAUCUAAAACAGUAAAAUAUUUAGGUAUUUGUUUUUCAAAUGCUAGCAAAUAACUCAAAUGAUUGAAUUGUCA
This is a non-coding RNA of Podarcis lilfordi (Lilford's wall lizard), 1308 nucleotides long. Lineage: Eukaryota; Metazoa; Chordata; Lepidosauria; Squamata; Lacertidae. The record is from the annotation of a GenBank genome assembly.